AGUUAAGUGAAUAAGGGCGCACGGUGAAUGCCUUGGCACUAGGAGCCGAUGAA
This 53-nucleotide ribosomal RNA is filed under the name Filobacillus milosensis. RNAcentral's name for it is "partial 23S ribosomal RNA". The record is from RNAcentral. Lineage: Bacteria; Bacillati; Bacillota; Bacilli; Caryophanales; Bacillaceae.